This 253-nucleotide ribosomal RNA is filed under the name uncultured bacterium. Its description in RNAcentral is "partial 16S ribosomal RNA". It matches the Rfam family "Bacterial small subunit ribosomal RNA", at positions 524 to 776 of the family's 1533-position model. The record is from RNAcentral.
GACGAAGGGCGUGGGUGUUAUUCGUUUUGAUUGGGUGUAAAGGGUAUGUAGGCGGUUUCUGGAUUUUUGGCCAAAAGAGCAGAGUGUUCCUGUGCGAUAGGCCUUCUAAAAAAGAUUCUUGUGUUGCGGAGAGGUCGGAGCAAAUUCUUAUGUAAAAGUAAAAUUUUCGGAUAUGAGAAUGAACGUCGAUAGGCGAAGGCAUCUUUCCAGCCGCAACAGACGCUAAGGUACGGAAGCCUGGGGAGCAAACGGG